Molecule: ribosomal RNA, 480 nt
Filed under: uncultured bacterium
Lineage: Bacteria
Description: partial 16S ribosomal RNA
Rfam family: Bacterial small subunit ribosomal RNA
Source: RNAcentral
AUUGAACGCUGGCGGCAUGCCUUACACAUGCAAGUCGAACGGCAGCACGGGUGCUUGCACCUGGUGGCGAGUGGCGAACGGGUGAGUAACACGUAAGUAAUCUACCUUCGAGUGGGGAAUAACGUUCGGAAACGAACGCUAAUACCGCAUAAUGCAGCGGCAUCUAUGAUGACAGUUGUUAAAGAUUUAUCGCUUGAAGAGGAGCUUGCGGCAGAUUAGCUAGUUGGUAAGGUAACGGCUUACCAAGGCGACGAUCUGUAUCCGGUCUAAGGGGACGGUCGGACACACUGACACUGAAUAACGGGUCAGACUCCUACGGGAGGCAGCAGUCGGGAAUUUUGGGCAAUGGGCGAAAGCCUGACCCAGCAACGCCGCGUGAAGGAUGAAGUUUUUCGGAAUGUAAACUUCGUAAGAAUAGGAAGAAUAAAUGACGGUACUAUUUGUAAGGUCCGGCUAACUACGUGCCAGCAGCCGCAGUAA